UAAGACGUAGGGAGCGAGCGUUGUCCGGAUUUACUGGGCGUAAAGAGCACGUAGGCGGUCUGUUAAGUGAGAAGUGAAAUCUCCAGCGCUCAACGCGGAAACGGCUUUUCAUACUGGCAGACUUGAGGGAUGCAGAGGCAAGUAGAAUUCCUGGUGUACCGGUGACAUGGGUUGAUAUCAGGAGGAAUACCAAUGGCGAAGGCAGCUUGCUGGGCAUCAUCUGACGCUGAGGUGCGAAAGCGUGGGUAGCAAACAGG
Molecule: ribosomal RNA, 257 nt
Filed under: uncultured bacterium
Lineage: Bacteria
Description: partial 16S ribosomal RNA
Rfam family: Bacterial small subunit ribosomal RNA
Source: RNAcentral